CAGUCGCCGCGGGAAUACGUAGGGUGCAAGCGUUAAUCGGAAUUACUGGGCGUAAAGCGUGCGCAGGCGGUUCGUUAAGACAGAUGUGAAAUCCCCGGGCUUAACCUGGGAACUGCAUUUGUGACUGGCGGGCUAGAGUAUGGCAGAGGGGGGUAGAAUUCCACGUGUAGCAGUGAAAUGCGUAGAGAUGUGGAGGAAUACCGAUGGCGAAGGCAGCCCCCUGGGCCAAUACUGACGCUCAUGCACGAAAGCGUGGGGAGCAAACAGGAUUAGAUACCCCCGUAGUCCCUGUCUCUUAUAC
This 301-nucleotide ribosomal RNA is filed under the name uncultured bacterium. RNAcentral describes it as "partial 16S ribosomal RNA". It matches the Rfam family "Bacterial small subunit ribosomal RNA", at positions 509 to 807 of the family's 1533-position model. The record is from RNAcentral.